RNAcentral lists this ribosomal RNA (292 nucleotides) under uncultured bacterium. Its description in RNAcentral is "partial 16S ribosomal RNA". It matches the Rfam family "Bacterial small subunit ribosomal RNA", at positions 505 to 796 of the family's 1533-position model. The record is from RNAcentral.
GUGCCAGCAGCCGCGGUAAGACGAGCCACACAAACGUUAUUCGGAAUUACUGGGCUUAAAGGGUGCGUAGGCGGCGCGGAAAGUUGGGUGUGAAAGCCCUCGGCUCAACCGAGGAAUUGCGCCCAAAACUACCGUGCUUGAGGAAGAUAGAGGUGAGCGGAACUCAGGGUGGAGCGGUGAAAUGCGUUGAUAUCCUGAGGAACACCGGUGGCGAAAGCGGCUCACUGGAUCUUUUCUGACGCUGAGGCACGAAAGCUAGGGUAGCGAACGGGAUUAGAAACCCCAGUAGUCC